AGUCGAGCGGCAAGGUCUUCGGACCCUAGAGCGGCGCACGGGUGAGUAACGCGUACGCAAUCUGCCCUUCAGUGAGGAAUAGCCCUGGGAAACUGGGAUUAAUACCUCAUAACAUUAUUUGUCUGCAUGGAUGAAUAAUUAAAGUUCUGGCGCUGAAGGAUGAGCGUGCGUCUGAUUAGCUAGUUGGUAGGGUAACGGCCUACCAAGGCGACGAUCAUUAGGGGGUGUGAGAGCAUGACCCCCCACACGGGUACUGAGACACGGACCCGACUCCUACGGGAGGCAGCAGUAAGGAAUAUUGGACAGUGGUCGGAAGACUGAUCCAGCCAUGCCGCGUGAAGGACGAAGGCGCUCUGCGUUGUAAACUUCUUUUGGACAGGAACAAAACCAUCCCUGCGGGGGUGUCUGAGGGUACUGUCAGAAUAAGCACCGGCUAACUCCGUGCCAGCAGCCGCGGUAAUACGGAGGGUGCAAGCGUUAUCCGGAAUCACUGGGUUUAAAGGGUGCGUAGGCGGUUUUUUAAGUCAGUUGUGAAAUUCCCUCGCUUAACGAGUGGGACUGCGAUUGAUACUGAAGAACUUGAAUCAGGUUGAGGUAGGCGGAAUGUGACAUGUAGCGGUGAAAUGCAUAGAUAUGUCAUAGAACACCGAUUGCGAAGGCAGCUUGCUGG
Molecule: ribosomal RNA, 670 nt
Filed under: uncultured Haliscomenobacter sp.
Lineage: Bacteria; Pseudomonadati; Bacteroidota; Saprospiria; Saprospirales; Haliscomenobacteraceae
Description: bacterial SSU rRNA
Rfam family: Bacterial small subunit ribosomal RNA
Source: RNAcentral